Aulographum hederae CBS 113979 is the source of this 86-nucleotide non-coding RNA. The record is from the annotation of a GenBank genome assembly. NCBI's taxonomy places the organism in Eukaryota, Fungi, Ascomycota, Dothideomycetes, Aulographales, Aulographaceae.
UCCGAUAUGGUGUAUCGGCUAGCAUCGCCCGCUUUCAUUUCGUGAAUUGCGCCGGGCAGAGCCGGGUUCGACUCCCGGUAUCGGAA